AGAGUUUGAUCCUGGCUCAGGAUGAACGCUAGCGGCGUGCCUAAUGCAUGCAAGUCGAACGGGAUCCCAUAGAUUCGUCUAAGGGUGAGAGUGGCGAACGGGUGAGUAACACGUUGGUGACCUGCCCCAGAGAGGGGGACAACCAGUGGAAACGCUGGCUAAUACCCCGGAUGUCAAGGUUUUUAGAAACCCUUGACUGAAGCUCCGGCGCUCUGGGAGGGGCCUGCGGUCCAUCAGCUUGUUGGUAGGGUAACGGCCUACCAAGGCGAAGACGGAUAGGGGGCGUGAGAGCGUGACCCCCCACACUGGUACUGACACACGGACCAGAUACCUGCGGGUAGCAGCAGCAAGGAAUAUUGCCCAAUGGACGAAAGUCUGAGGCAGCAACGCCGCGUGAAGGAAGAAGGCUUUCGUGUUGUAAACUUCUUUUUUGGGGGAAGAGAAAGGACGGUACCCCAAGAAUAAGAUCCGGCUAACUACAUGCCAGCAGCCGCGGUAAAACGUAGGGAUCGAGCGUUAUCCGGAUUUACUGGGCGUAAAGCGCGUGCAGGCGGUUUUCUAAGUCGGACGUGAAAGCUCCUGGCCCAACUGGGAGAGGCCGUUCGAAACUGGAAGACUUGAGGAUGGUAGAGGUAAGUGGAAUUCCCGGUGUAGUGUGAAAUGCGUAGAUAUCGGGAGGAACACCAGUGGCGAAGGCGGCUUACUGGGCCAUUCCUGACGCUGAGACGCGAAAGCUAGGGGAGAGAACGGGAUUAGAAACCCCGGUAUUCCUAGCCGUAAACGAUGUCAACUAGGUGUAGGGGGUAUCCAACCCCCCUGUGCUGUAGCUAACGCGUUAAGUUGACCGCCUGGGGACUACGGCCGCAAGGCUAAAACUCAAAGGAAUUGACGGGGACCCGCACAAGCAGCGGAGCGUGUGGUUUAAUUCGAGACUACGCGAAGAACCUUACCAGGGUUUGACAUGUACGUGGUAGGAAGGUGAAAGCCGACUGACCCUUCGGGGAGCGUACACAGGUGCUGCAUGGCUGUCGUCAGCUCGUGCCGUGAGGUGUUAGGUUAAGUCCUGUAACGAGCGCAACCCUCGUCGUUAGUUAUACGUGUCUAACGAGACUGCCGGUGAUAAGCCGGAGGAAGGUGGGGAUGACGUCAAGUCAGCAUGGCCUUUAUAUCCUGGGCUACACACACGCUACAAUGGCCGGUACAAUGGGUAGCCAAGCCGCGAGGCGGAGCCAAUCCUUCAAAGCCGGUCUCAGUUCGGAUUGUAGGCUGCAACUCGCCUGCAUGAAGUCGGAGUUGCUAGUAAACGCGCGUCAGCAACAGUGCAUUGAAUACGUUCCCGGGUCUUGUACACACCGCCCGCCACGUCAUGGAAGUUGGCAACGCCUGAAGUCAGUGAGCUAACCCUAACGGGAGGCAGCUGCCCAAGGCGGGGUCGGUAACUGGGACGAAGUCGUAACAAGGUA
This 1463-nucleotide ribosomal RNA is filed under the name metagenome. Its description in RNAcentral is "bacterial SSU rRNA". It matches the Rfam family "Bacterial small subunit ribosomal RNA". The record is from RNAcentral.